RNAcentral lists this ribosomal RNA (251 nucleotides) under uncultured prokaryote. RNAcentral's name for it is "partial 16S rRNA". It matches the Rfam family "Bacterial small subunit ribosomal RNA", at positions 525 to 775 of the family's 1533-position model. The record is from RNAcentral.
ACGUAGGUGGCAAGCGUUGUCCGGAAUUAUUGGGCGUAAAGGGCGCGUAGGCGGAUAUUUAAGUCUGUCGUAAAAAUGCGGGGCUCAACCCCGUAGUGUCGAUGGAAACUGGAUAUCUUGAGAGCAGGAGAGGAAAGUAGAAUUCCCAGUGUAGCGGUGAAAUGCGUAGAUAUUGGGAGGAAUACCAGUGGCGAAGGCGGCUUUCUGGACUGUUUCUGACGCUGAGGCGCGAAAGCUAGGGGAGCGAACGG